Molecule: ribosomal RNA, 403 nt
Filed under: uncultured bacterium
Lineage: Bacteria
Description: partial 16S ribosomal RNA
Rfam family: Bacterial small subunit ribosomal RNA
Source: RNAcentral
AUUGAACGCUGGCGGCAGGCUUAACACAUGCAAGUCGAGCGCGCGGGGGACGGGGGAGUGAUGUAUGGGGACUGCGCGCUGGAGGGGGGUAAAUACUGGAAACGGUGGCUCAUAUCGCAUACUGUCGGGGGACCCAUAUGGGAUUAGCUAGUAGGUAAGGUAAUGGCUUACCUAGGCGACGAUCCCUAGCUGGUCUGAGAGGAUGAUCAGCCACACUGGGACUGAGACACGGCCCAGACUCCUACGGAGGCAGCAGUGGGGAAUUUUGCACAAUGGGCGCAAGCCUGAUGCAGCCAUGCCGCGUGUAUGAAGAAGGCCCUAGGGUUGUAAAGUACUUUCAGUCGGGAGGCGUUACCGGCAGAAGAAGCACCGGCUAACUCCGUGCCAGCAGCCGCGGUAAUAC